Molecule: long non-coding RNA, 1141 nt
Organism: Oncorhynchus tshawytscha (Chinook salmon)
Lineage: Eukaryota; Metazoa; Chordata; Actinopteri; Salmoniformes; Salmonidae
Source: Ensembl
GUUCACGCUUACAGACACCUACAGUAUGUGCCUUUAUGCGUCAGUUUGGACAUAUUCUGCACUUUAUUGCUAGUGAUUUGUCUGGAAAAUGCUCAAAGACUUACAGAAUAUAAUAUAAUAUAACUAUUGCAUUAUAUUCCAGGAGUCCAAUUCUUAUUUAGAUAGGCCUUGAUUUUUUUGUUGAUAUGCAGGGAGAACGACCAUGGCUUUGGUUUGUUCCAAAUCAUUGAUUAGUUAUACUUCAGUAACAGAGUCCCUUUCACUCAUCGAGGGUUGAUCGACUGAUAUAACAGCAUUACAGAAUUUAAACUGAACUGAAAAUGUAUUGGGGAUGCAUGAGAUGGACUAUGAUUGAGUUGCAACAGGAGAGAGCAGUUCACAACAAGGUAUAAUGUAGAGGUCUAAUGUUCAGGGGAACCUUAAGAUCAAGGUAUAAUGUAGAGAUCUAAUGUCCCCCUGUACGUUUAUAUCAAGGUAUAAUGUGGAGGCCUAACUCUUACAUAGACAACCCACUUUUUUAUAAACUAUUCACAGCAGCUUUCCCUUGAUAUUACCACAGCACUGUCCAGAAUGAACGGUGGGCGGGUGUGGGAUGGUCACCCAAUACCGCAUCCAGAUCUGAAUCAACUGGACACCGGGUUCUACCGCUCCCAUCCAGAUCUGAAUCAACUGGACACCGGGUUCUACCGCUCCCAUCCAGAUCUGAAUCAACUGGACACCGGGUUCUUCCGUUCCCAUCCAGAUCUGAAUCAACUGGACACUGGGUUCGUCCGGUUUUUAAUGAAGACCAAGAUCUUAUUUCUGUAUGAAUUGUAGCGGUAUCGUUGUCCAUAAUUGUGGUGCUUUCAAGACAACUGGGAACUGGAAAAAAAACAAGGUCAAAUAAUGACGUCAGUGAUCUUCAGGUUGGAAAGUCGGAGCUCUAGAAAGAUGGUCGAGUUUCCAACUUGGAAUUCCGAGUUGGAUGACCGUUCGAAACAAUUUUUUUCCCAGUUGAAGCUCCAAGUUGUCUUGAACGCACUGACGUCGGAAGCCGGAGAUAUCCAAGUUCCCGAAUUCCGAGUUCCCAGUUGUUUUGAAUGCGGCAUUACUACCUCAACUGGCCGGUGUGACUUAUUUGAGAGGACCAAAUGUAUACGCU